This is a long non-coding RNA of Cucumis sativus (cucumber), 831 nucleotides long. RefSeq lists it as uncharacterized. The transcript has 2 exons. Lineage: Eukaryota; Viridiplantae; Streptophyta; Magnoliopsida; Cucurbitales; Cucurbitaceae. The record is from RefSeq and is a predicted model, not a curated record.
CAACAUCCUCAUUGCUUUCUAUCAUGAGAGAAGAAACUUACUCAAUUUAAAUUAUUUUUUUUCCAUGGUUCAUUUAUAACAAUUGUUUGUAGUCUCAUCGUGUGUCUAUUCAUUUCAGUCUUUGCUGCUUAAUAUCAAAAUUUAUAAAAAAAUAAUAAUUAUAAAAUCAAAGCCAAACCACACUUCCAUUGAGAUAAAUGAAAGAAUAUACAUGGAUAUACAAAAAAAAAAAAAAGAAGAAAAAGAAAAUUCAUGCCAGACAAAAAAAGAAAAAAAAUGGAGUCUCACACUAACAACAGAAGCAUACUUUUCUCUUGUAAUAAACAAUUUCAUUGAUAUAUGAAAUAUAUUCAAAGAAGUACAAAAAGGGCAUUCAAAGGGUGUACAAAAGGUGUUUCCAAUGUGCAAAGAGGAUAUUAAAAUUGUAAUCUUUUAGAUUAUGUAAAAAAAAAAAGUAUGUAAAUUUUUACACCAAAAGAUAGCAUUGUAAAUAGCUAACUCAAGACUUCUUUAGGGGACCUCUCACGAUUCUUGAAGAUUCUGGCAUUCCCCUCAUCCUGAAACUUGGUCAAAACUGCACAAACGUUGCAAGACCAUACAAUCACCUUUGUUGCUUUGAAAGGGUAUUCUAAUAAGGUCAAUCCAAGCCAACUGAUAGUGAUAGCAUACCCCAAGGAAACUGUUGUCCAAUUAAAAGAGUGAAAUAGUUCAGCCCAUAAAUCACCAGCAAAAGGGCAGUGGAAAAGAAGGUGAAAUUGUGUUUUGUUGCUUUCCUUGCAUAGGCAGCACCACGAUGGGAAAAGCCUAAUCCAUGGGCAUCUUCUUUGAAUU